This is a long non-coding RNA of Nothobranchius furzeri (turquoise killifish), 233 nucleotides long. RefSeq lists it as uncharacterized. The record is from RefSeq and is a predicted model, not a curated record. Lineage: Eukaryota; Metazoa; Chordata; Actinopteri; Cyprinodontiformes; Nothobranchiidae.
AAACACUUCUGACAUUAUCUUUACAGGGAAGAUUUUCUAAUGGCUGGUGUUGAGGCCUUAGCUGAUGACCUAGAUUUGGAUCCUUUUGAAGAAAGUUUCAAAUCCAUGGAUCUAGCUACGGAUGCAGUCCAAAUUGAUGAGGACCAAGCAAACAACUUACUCAACAGUGUGCUGGGAUCCUAAAGGGAAUUUCCAUCCUACUUGUGUGGCUGAAGGACAUCUUCAGCCAAUUU